UCAGCACCUGCCCCGGGGCCGGGCCCGACCGCCACGCAGGCACCUGCCGUCGCCGCCGCCGCUGCCGCCAUACGGGUCGGAGAGGCUGCGAGCCGCUCCCGGGGAAGAUCCGGCUCCCAUCCGGCCCCGCCCGCCCUGCCUUAUCCUGCCCGCAACUCCGGGGCUGCCCGGCUCGAUUCCGGGUAAUAUGGGCCGGCUGAGCAGGCUCCACCGGGUGGCAUAGGGGGCUGUGGCCGAAACAGGAGCCCUUCUGGAGGUGGAAGCCCAGCUUCUAGUCCCUCUCUGUCCCAGCGACCUCUCUGGCCUUGGGCAAGUCAUUUCCCAGCCUUUCCUCGGUUUUCCUGUAUGUUCAGAGGGGUUGGUCUGGCCUUCGGCAAGGGCCUCACCAGUCCCCAGAUCCUGGUUUCAGGGCUUCUAGCAAUAAUGCUGAGCCACUUACCUGGGAAGUUGGAGGCCUUAGAGGGAUUGGAUCAUUAGCUGUGAGGAGGUGUGGAAAAUCAGGGUGGGGGAGCUAGAACCAGAUGAAGAUCAAGUCUGCCCCUUCACAUCUGUUUGGUGCUGACAUCCUGAGGGUUCGCCCCCUGCCAUCUCCCUGGCCCUUCUUUCAGUCUUCCCAUGUCUGAGACAGACAGACAGACAGAUGGAAAAGGACAAAUGGGGCCUGGUAGCCCUUGCCAGGGGGGGUCCCCAGGCACCACAGCCAACCACCUUUCUUAAACUUCAUAAUCCCAAGUCUUCCUGUUAUAUGCAGCUGGGGGUGAGGGUGGGUCUCAGUGGCCCUCAUCUUAAGUGGGAGUCCACGGGUCAUUAGCCACAACCAAACCUGAGACAGCCGGCCCCUCUUCUGCAGGGAGUCAAAGUGUUAAGAUCUGACAUGAGGGAGGGGGGUGGAGAUUGCCUUAGACCCCUGGUGUCCUGCCCCGGAGAGUCUAGAACUGAGGGUUCCACACACAGCCUGAGGUCAGUGUGAGCCCUUAGCUGAGUCUCUGUCCUUUCACUCCAGGUGUCUGUCAUUCCUCCUCUCUCAAAAUUGAUGGUGAUGCUGGUCUAGCCCCAGAGAGAGGGUCGUAGGUGGAGGGAAGCCUCCUUGGAUAGCAGUAAGGAGCUACAGUUUCCCCUUAGGCUGGAGAAACAGACAGCUGUGGCAGCUGACCAGCCCCCUGCCCACCUGCUGGUUGUGACUCAGCCUUGGAACCUCUGGAUGCAGAGGGUACCCAGGGUCUAUAGGGAAAAACUGAGAAGUAGAGUGCAGCUUAUACGCAGGGGAGCUUGGGUUUGAACCCAGGCUUUAGCGCAAGACUCCAGAGCACUCUUAACCCUUCAGUGUCUGUACGAUCAGGGGCGGGUGACACCUUCUCUCCUCCUCUCCGUGGCCGUGGAAUGGGAUACGUGCAUGUGUAAGCGAAGGGCGUACUUGUACUCCAACACCCAGCACAGAGUGGCACACAGCACAUUGUAUUAAACGUUUGAGGAAUAAGUGAGCGAACAA
Molecule: long non-coding RNA, 1489 nt
Organism: Neofelis nebulosa (Clouded leopard)
Lineage: Eukaryota; Metazoa; Chordata; Mammalia; Carnivora; Felidae
Exons: 3
Source: RefSeq, a predicted model, not a curated record